Molecule: transfer RNA, 72 nt
Filed under: Roseovarius sp.
Lineage: Bacteria; Pseudomonadati; Pseudomonadota; Alphaproteobacteria; Rhodobacterales; Roseobacteraceae
Description: tRNA-Thr
Rfam family: tRNA
About the family: Transfer RNA (tRNA) molecules are approximately 80 nucleotides in length. Their secondary structure includes four short double-helical elements and three loops (D, anti-codon, and T loops). Further hydrogen bonds mediate the characteristic L-shaped molecular structure. tRNAs have two regions of fundamental functional importance: the anti-codon, which is responsible for specific mRNA codon recognition, and the 3' end, to which the tRNAs corresponding amino acid is attached (by aminoacyl-tRNA synthetases). tRNAs cope with the degeneracy of the genetic code in two manners: having more than one tRNA (with a specific anti-codon) for a particular amino acid; and 'wobble' base-pairing, i.e. permitting non-standard base-pairing at the 3rd anti-codon position.
Source: RNAcentral
GCCCCAGUAGCUUAGUGGUAAAGCAGCGCUUUCGUAAAGCGAAGACCGGCGGUUCAAAUCCGUCCUGGGGCA